Molecule: ribosomal RNA, 254 nt
Filed under: uncultured bacterium
Lineage: Bacteria
Description: partial 16S ribosomal RNA
Rfam family: Bacterial small subunit ribosomal RNA
Source: RNAcentral
UACGUAGGGGGCAAGCGUUGUCCGGAAUCAUUGGGCGUAAAGAGCUCGUAGGCGGUUCAGUAAGUCGGGUGUGAAACCUCCAGGCUCAACCUGGAGACGCCACCCGAUACUGCUGUGACUAGAGUCCAGUAGGGGAGCGUGGAAUUCCUGGUGUAGCGGUGAAAUGCGCAGAUAUCAGGAGGAACACCAGCGGCGAAGGCGGCGCUCUGGGCUGGAACUGACGCUGAGGAGCGAAAGCGUGGGGAGCGAACAGG